UCCUAAAUGGUCUAGUGGUAAGGAUUCCUGGCUUUCACCCGGGCGGCCCGGGUUCGAUUUCCGGUGUAGGAA
Ciona savignyi (Pacific transparent sea squirt) is the source of this 72-nucleotide non-coding RNA. The record is from Rfam. NCBI's taxonomy places the organism in Eukaryota, Metazoa, Chordata, Ascidiacea, Phlebobranchia, Cionidae.